Molecule: ribosomal RNA, 668 nt
Filed under: uncultured bacterium
Lineage: Bacteria
Description: bacterial SSU rRNA
Rfam family: Bacterial small subunit ribosomal RNA
Source: RNAcentral
UCGAACGGGAAUUACUUUAUUGAAACUUCGGUCGAUUUAAUUUAAUUCUAGUGGCGGACGGGUGAGUAACGCGUGGGUAACCUGCCUUAUACAGGGGGAUAACAGUCAGAAAUGGCUGCUAAUACCGCAUAAGCGCACAGAGCUGCAUGGCUCAGUGUGAAAAACUCCGGUGGUAUAAGAUGGACCCGCGUUGGAUUAGCUUGUUGGUGGGGUAACGGCCCACCAAGGCGACGAUCCAUAGCCGGCCUGAGAGGGUGAACGGCCACAUUGGGACUGAGACACGGCCCAGACUCCUACGGGAGGCAGCAGUGGGGAAUAUUGCACAAUGGGGGAAACCCUGAUGCAGCGACGCCGCGUGAAGGAAGAAGUAUCUCGGUAUGUAAACUUCUAUCAGCAGGGAAGAUAGUGACGGUACCUGACUAAGAAGCCCCGGCUAACUACGUGCCAGCAGCCGCGGUAAUACGUAGGGGGCAAGCGUUAUCCGGAUUUACUGGGUGUAAAGGGAGCGUAGACGGUGUGGCAAGUCUGAUGUGAAAGGCAUGGGCUCAACCUGUGGACUGCAUUGGAAACUGUCAUACUUGAGUGCCGGAGGGGUAAGCGGAAUUCCUAGUGUAGCGGUGAAAUGCGUAGAUAUUAGGAGGAACACCAGUGGCGAAGGCGGCUUACUG